Molecule: ribosomal RNA, 855 nt
Filed under: uncultured archaeon
Lineage: Archaea
Description: SSU rRNA
Rfam family: Archaeal small subunit ribosomal RNA
Source: RNAcentral
UACCAGCUCUCCGAGUUGUGGGGAUGAUUAUUGGGCCUAAAGCAUCCGUAGCCGGCUGGGCAAGUCCUCUGUUAAAUCCAGCGACUAAUCGUUGGUCUGCGGGGGAUACUGUUCGGCUAGGGGGCGGGAGAGGCCGUCGGUAUUCUCGGGGUAGGGGUGAAAUCCUAUAAUCCCGGGAAGACCACCAGUGGCGAAGGCUGUCGGCUAGAACGCGCCCGACGGUGAGGGAUGAAAGCUGGGGGAGCGAACCGGAUUAGAUACCCGGGUAGUCCCAGCUGUAAACGAUGCAGGCUAGGUGUUAGGGCGGCUACGGGCCGCUCUAGUGCCGCAGGGAAGCUGUUAAGCCUGCCGCCUGGGGAGUACGGUCGCAAGGCUGAAACUUAAAGGAAUUGGCGGGGGAGCACCACAAGGGGUGAAGCUUGCGGUUUAAUUGGAGUCAACGCCGGAAAUCUCACCGGGGGCGACAGCAGUGUGAAGGCCAGAUUGAAGGUCUUGCCAGACGAGCUGAGAGGAGGUGCAUGGCCGUCGCCAGUUCGUGCCGUGAGGUGUCCUGUUAAGUCAGGCAACGAUCGAGACCCGCAUCCCCCGUUGCCACCAGCCUUGAGCUGAGCACACUGGGGAGACCGCCGUCGAUAAGACGGAGGAAGGAGCGGGCCACGGCAGGUCAGUAUGCCCCGAAUCUCCCGGGCCACACGCGAGCUGCAAUGGCAGGUACAAUGGGUUCCGACCUCGAAAGGGGAAGGAAAUCUCUAAAGCCUGCCGUAGUUGGGAUCGAGGGUUGAAACCCACCCUCGUGAACAUGGAAUCCCUAGUAAUCGCGUGUCACUAGCGCGCGGUGAAUACGUCCCUGCUCCU